Molecule: long non-coding RNA, 800 nt
Filed under: Vulpes vulpes (red fox)
Lineage: Eukaryota; Metazoa; Chordata; Mammalia; Carnivora; Canidae
Description: lncRNA (ENSVVUG00000026155.1)
Source: RNAcentral
GAGAAAUUCCCCUACUUGGGCUUCCAUGAAAAUAUUGGUUUGCUGAGAAAGUUUAAAAACCAUUAGACAAAAAAAAAAAAAAAAAAAAAAAAAAAAACAAAAAAAAAACAACAAAAAAAACAAUUUUAAAGGCACUUCUGGGUCUAAGAGCAUGUAAUAUCUGGGAUAUGGGUGGCCAGCCUUGGGCUGGGGUGAAGCUGAGGAAGCACCGUGGCAUAAAAGUGAAGGAGACUUUGCUCUCAGAGUUGACCUCACAAAGGAACAUCUCCUUCAACUUUGCAUCCUUGGCACAUCUCUAGCUUCAUCCUAGCCCCAACUCUGGUCAGUAAAUAUUCUUCCCUUUUAGUUUCUGGAAAGUCACCGUCAUCUGAGGUCACCCAGACUAGCCACAAAAGCCAGCCAUCCAGCAAAUGGGAAGAAUGAAAAGCUCUUAUCUGAGGCGAAGAAAGCCCAGUCUGUUGGGGAAGGGAGAAUGGAUUUGCUGGGUGUUUGGAAUCAGGUCAAGAAUAUAAACAGUUCCUGCCUUCCUGAAAAAGAUACUCCGAUUACCUCCUCUCAUGUCAAAGAGAUUGUUCCAGUAAAAUAAAGGCUGCUGACGUGCUGACAACCAGGAGUGUCGUAGCACAAGAAGAGAAUGGAGCAGCCAUUGCCAAGGGGAGGCAGAGCGGAGCUGUUCCCAGCUGCAAGCCUGGUCCUGCAAGAGUCUCCACAUUUUUUCCUAGUGCAGAGUCUGCAGUUGGGGGACAUGAAUUCUGGUGCUCUGUUCUCCAUGAAUGCUUCUCACCUUUCUUCCUGGAGCC